UACGAAGGGGGCUAGCGUUGCUCGGAAUGACUGGGCGGAAAGGGCGCGUAGGCGGAUGGCACAGUCAGAUGUGAAAUUCCCGGGCUUAACCUGGGGGCUGCAUUUGAUACGUGUGAUCUAGAGUGAGGAAGAGGGUCGUGGAAUUCCCAGUGUAGAGGUGAAAUUCGUAGAUAUUGGGAAGAACACCGGUGGCGAAGGCGGCGACCUGGUCCUUGACUGACGCUGAGGCGCGAAAGCGUGGGGAGCAAACAGG
Molecule: ribosomal RNA, 253 nt
Filed under: uncultured bacterium
Lineage: Bacteria
Description: partial 16S ribosomal RNA
Rfam family: Bacterial small subunit ribosomal RNA
Source: RNAcentral